UGGGGAAAGCUAGUAAUUUGUAUGAUGAUACUCAUUUGUUUUAUAUCUAGAUAAUUUUAGAAUCAAUUUAGGCAUUUGUCACUUUGGCAUUCAAAAUUAGUUUUUGGAUUUGCCAACCAAACAUAUAGCAAACCACUUCUACAGUUUCAGAACAGCUUCUAGAUCUUAACAACCAAACAAUUUUUUAGUAAAAAACUGUUUUAUCUUGAAACAACUUUUGCUCUC
RNAcentral lists this long non-coding RNA (225 nucleotides) under Elaeis guineensis (African oil palm). RNAcentral's name for it is "long non-coding RNA (EGUI_LNC028071)". The record is from RNAcentral. Lineage: Eukaryota; Viridiplantae; Streptophyta; Magnoliopsida; Arecales; Arecaceae.